GCCGGGCAUGGUAGCGCACACCUGUAAUCCCAGCAGCUCAGGAGGCUGAGGCAGGAGGAUCACAAGUUCAAAGUCAGCCCAGCAAAAAUGAGGAGCUAAGCAACUCAGUGAGACCCUAUCUCUA
This 124-nucleotide small RNA is filed under the name Marmota monax (woodchuck). The record is from RNAcentral. Lineage: Eukaryota; Metazoa; Chordata; Mammalia; Rodentia; Sciuridae.